Molecule: ribosomal RNA, 492 nt
Filed under: uncultured bacterium
Lineage: Bacteria
Description: partial 16S ribosomal RNA
Rfam family: Bacterial small subunit ribosomal RNA
Source: RNAcentral
AGUGAACGCUGGCGGUAGGCCUAACACAUGCAAGUCGAACGGCAGCACAGUAAGAGCUUGCUCUUACGGGUGGCGAGUGGCGGACGGGUGAGGAAUACAUCGGAAUCUACUUUUUCGUGGGGGAUAACGUAGGGAAACUUACGCUAAUACCGCAUACGACCUACGGGUGAAAGCAGGGGAUCUUCGGACCUUGCGCGAUUGAAUGAGCCGAUGUCGGAUUAGCUAGUUGGCGGGGUAAAGGCCCACCAAGGCGACGAUCCGUAGCUGGUCUGAGAGGAUGAUCAGCCUCACUGGAACUGAGACACGGUCCAGACUCCUACGGGAGGCAGCAGUGGGGAAUAUUGGACAAUGGGCGCAAGCCUGAUCCAGCCAUACCGCGUGGGUGAAGAAGGCCUUCGGGUUGUAAAGCCCUUUUGUUGGGAAAGAAAAGCAGCAGGUUAAUACCCCGCUGUUCUGACGGUACCCAAAGAAUAAGCACCAGCUAACUUCGUG